GGGGAGAGAGUUCAGUGAGUAAGAGUGCUUGCUUCAUAAGCAUGAGGAUCUGGGUUCAGAUCCCAGUGCCCACA
Molecule: transfer RNA, 74 nt
Filed under: Mus musculus (house mouse)
Lineage: Eukaryota; Metazoa; Chordata; Mammalia; Rodentia; Muridae
Rfam family: tRNA
About the family: Transfer RNA (tRNA) molecules are approximately 80 nucleotides in length. Their secondary structure includes four short double-helical elements and three loops (D, anti-codon, and T loops).
Source: Rfam by way of RNAcentral